Molecule: long non-coding RNA, 691 nt
Organism: Cebus imitator (Panamanian white-faced capuchin)
Lineage: Eukaryota; Metazoa; Chordata; Mammalia; Primates; Cebidae
Exons: 3
Source: RefSeq, a predicted model, not a curated record
CGUGCCAUGGAGGCAGCCGGCAGGAGAGGAAGGGAGGGCUGGCCGGCGACUGCCUGACUGCCCUUGUCUCUCCUGGGGAGGCCUGAACUGGCCUGGUCUGGGUGCAACCCCCCUGCCCAAGGCUUGGCCUCCCAACCCGGCAGAGCCGCCUCCCAGCCUGCCCCUGGGGAGGGGCCACCUGGUGUCAAUUAAACCCCAGUCGCACUCGGCCUGCACCACGCCAGGCGGCUGAUUAGUGCCGCUGGCCUCUCCAGAUGGGGAGCACUGUCUGAGAGGGGGCGACCACCACCAUGCCAGGGUGAGGCCUUGCCGGAGCUGGAAAAUGGGGGACAUUGAAGACAUCACCCUAGAGAAGAACUCCCCCGGCUCCUUCCAGGAAAUGUGCCUCUCUCAUGGCCAGGGGUUGGAGGGUAUCCGAGCCUGUGCCACGCGGAGGCUUCUCAGUCUCAUCCGGGCAGAUGGCAUCCCCGGGGUCCGUCAUUCAUUAUCACAACAGCGGAACCUUGCCACUUUCUACUCUAAUGCCCCUGUAAUCAGCCAAGAAACCUUGCAAUUUGAUAUUUGGAAACAAUUAGCCCAGUUCACGGCCUCUGCAGCAUCUCUUAAUGCGGACGUGGCCAUAAAUUACAGGGAAGCAGGAACUGACACAAGAGGAUGAGGUCACAGCAGCCACAAACCUUUGGCUCAGAGG